This 329-nucleotide ribosomal RNA is filed under the name Cylindrospermopsis raciborskii S01. Its description in RNAcentral is "bacterial SSU rRNA". It matches the Rfam family "Bacterial small subunit ribosomal RNA", at positions 833 to 1163 of the family's 1533-position model. The record is from RNAcentral. Lineage: Bacteria; Bacillati; Cyanobacteriota; Cyanophyceae; Nostocales; Aphanizomenonaceae. RNAcentral also lists the same sequence under 1 other name.
GACCCGAGCCGUGCCGGAGCUAACGCGUUAAGUAUCCCGCCUGGGGAGUACGCACGCAAGUGUGAAACUCAAAGGAAUUGACGGGGGCCCGCACAAGCGGUGGAGUAUGUGGUUUAAUUCGAUGCAACGCGAAGAACCUUACCAAGACUUGACAUCCUGCGAAUCCCGGUGAAAGCUGGGAGUGCCUUAGGGAGCGCAGAGACAGGUGGUGCAUGGCUGUCGUCAGCUCGUGUCGUGAGAUGUUGGGUUAAGUCCCGCAACGAGCGCAACCCUCGUUUUUAGUUGCCAGCAUUAAGUUGGGCACUCUAGAGAGACUGCCGGUGACAAAC